This 493-nucleotide ribosomal RNA is filed under the name uncultured bacterium. Its description in RNAcentral is "partial 16S ribosomal RNA". It matches the Rfam family "Bacterial small subunit ribosomal RNA", at positions 30 to 507 of the family's 1533-position model. The record is from RNAcentral.
UGAACGCUGGCGGCGUGCCUAAUACAUGCACGUAGAACGCUGAAGGAGGAGCUUGCUCUUCUGGAUGAGUUGCGAACGGGUGAGUAACGCGUAGGUAACCUGCCUGGUAGCGGGGGAUAACUAUUGGAAACGAUAGCUAAUACCGCAUGACAACAGUUAUUGCAUGAUAACUGUUUAAAAGGGGCAACUGCUCCACUACCAGAUGGACCUGCGUUGUAUUAGCUAGUUGGUGAGGUAACGGCUCACCAAGGCGACGAUACAUAGCCGACCUGAGAGGGUGAACGGCCACACUGGGACUGAGACACGGCCCAGACUCCUACGGGAGGCAGCAGUAGGGAAUCUUCGGCAAUGGACGGAAGUCUGACCGAGCAACGCCGCGUGAGUGAAGAAGGUUUUCGGAUCGUAAAGCUCUGUUGUAAGAGAAGAACGAGUGUGAGAGUGGAAAGUUCACACUGUGACGGUAUCUUACCAGAAAGGGACGGCUAACUACGUG